UUCAAUGAUUUCUGGCCCUUUUGAGUAGAUUUUGAUCGCACUUCUAUCGCCCAAAAAAAAAAGAGAAUUAUCUUAUGUUCCUUUGCAUGUGAUGAGUUUCCUUUCAGAUUAUCUCUCUUGUUUCCUCUGUUUUUUCUCAGCAGCAAUCGAGAGAACUUGAAAAAAAAACCCAAAAGAAUUGGGCAAUCGAUUCCAUCACAUCCAAAAGAAAUCGAGUUAGAAAAGGCCUCGGUAUGUAUGAAGCAUCGCUUUCUUGUUUAUUGUUCAGUUUCCUUUUAGGAAAUUUCUGCCUUCCUCUCGCUUGUAAAGAGGAUAGAGAAUAAGUGAUAGCAGUGCUCCUGCUCCUCCGCAUUAAUAUUUUUUCUCCUGCUAUAAAAUUCCCUCCCUCUCUUUCUCUUUCCUCUGCCGGGUUCUGCUUUCCAUUUCAUCAAACGGGCUAGGCGCAGAGCAGACGGACAGGGCUUUACAGCUUCCA
This 475-nucleotide long non-coding RNA is filed under the name Phoenix dactylifera (date palm). Its description in RNAcentral is "long non-coding RNA (PDAC_LNC004070)". Lineage: Eukaryota; Viridiplantae; Streptophyta; Magnoliopsida; Arecales; Arecaceae. The record is from RNAcentral.